RNAcentral lists this ribosomal RNA (232 nucleotides) under uncultured bacterium. RNAcentral describes it as "partial 16S ribosomal RNA". It matches the Rfam family "Bacterial small subunit ribosomal RNA", at positions 15 to 244 of the family's 1533-position model. The record is from RNAcentral.
AAUCCUGGCUCAGGAUGAACGCUAGCUACAGGCUUAACACAUGCAAGUCGAGCGGUAGCACAGAGAGCUUGCUCUCGGGUGACGAGCGGCGGACGGGUGAGUAAUGUCUGGGAAACUGCCUGAUGGAGGGGGAUAACUACUGGAAACGGUAGCUAAUACCGCAUAAUGUCGCAAGACCAAAGUGGGGGGACCUUCGGGCCUCAUGCCAUCAGAUGUGCCCAGAUGGGAUUAG